This 1430-nucleotide ribosomal RNA is filed under the name uncultured organism. RNAcentral's name for it is "16S ribosomal RNA". It matches the Rfam family "Bacterial small subunit ribosomal RNA". The record is from RNAcentral.
CGACAGGCUUAACUCAUGCAAGUCGAGGGGCAGCACAGGUAGCAAUACCGGGUGGCGACCGGCGCACGGGUGAGUAACGCGUAUGCAACUUACCUAUCAGAGGGGGAUAACCCGGCGAAGGUCGGACUAAUACCGCAUGAAGCAGGGGCCCCGCAUGGGGAUAUUUGCUAAAGAUUCAUCGCUGAUAGAUAGGCAUGCGUUCCAUUAGGCAGUUGGCGGGGUAACGGCCCACCAAACCGACGAUGGAUAGGGGUUCUGAGAGGAAGGUCCCCCACAUUGGUACUGAGACACGGACCAAACUCCUACGGGAGGCAGCAGUGAGGAAUAUUGGUCAAUGGCCGAGAGGCUGAACCAGCCAAGUCGCGUGAGGGAUGAAGGUUCUAUGGAUCGUAAACCUCUUUUAUAAGGGAAUAAAGUGCGGGACGUGUCCCGUUUUGUAUGUACCUUAUGAAUAAGGAUCGGCUAACUCCGUGCCAGCAGCCGCGGUAAUACGGAGGAUCCGAGCGUUAUCCGGAUUUAUUGGGUUUAAAGGGUGCGUAGGCGGCCUUUUAAGUCAGCGGUGAAAGUCUGUGGCUCAACCAUAGAAUUGCCGUUGAAACUGGGGGGCUUGAGUAUGUUUGAGGCAGGCGGAAUGCGUGGUGUAGCGGUGAAAUGCAUAGAUAUCACGCAGAACCCCGAUUGCGAAGGCAGCCUGCCAAGCCAUUACUGACGCUGAUGCACGAAAGCGUGUGGAUCAAACAGGAUUAGAUACCCUGGUAGUCCACGCAGUAAACGAUGAUCACUAGCUGUUUGCGAUACACUGUAAGCGGCACAGCGAAAGCGUUAAGUGAUCCACCUGGGGAGUACGCCGGCAACGGUGAAACUCAAAGGAACUGACGGGGGCCCGCACAAGCGGAGGAACAUGUGGUUUAAUUCGAUGAUACGCGAGGAACCUUACCCGGGUUUGAACGCAUUCGGACCGAGGUGGAAACACCUUUUCUAGCAAUAGCCGUUUGCGAGGUGCUGCAUGGUUGUCGUCAGCUCGUGCCGUGAGGUGUCGGCUUAAGUGCCAUAACGAGCGCAACCCUUGCCACUAGUUACUAACAGGUGAUGCUGAGGACUCUGGUGGGACUGCCAGCGUAAGCUGCGAGGAAGGCGGGGAUGACGUCAAAUCAGCACGGCCCUUACAUCCGGGGCGACACACGUGUUACAAUGGCGUGGACAAAGGGAGGCCACCUGGCGACAGGGAGCGAAUCCCCAAACCACGUCUCAGUUCGGAUCGGAGUCUGCAACCCGACUCCGUGAAGCUGGAUUCGCUAGUAAUCGCGCAUCAGCCAUGGCGCGGUGAAUACGUUCCCGGGCCUUGUACACACCGCCCGUCAAGCCAUGGGAGCCGGGGGUACCUGAAGUCCGUAACCGAAAGGAUCGGCCUAGGGUAAAACUGGUGACUG